GAUGAACGCUGGCGGCGUGCCUAAUACAUGCAAGUCGAGCGAACAGACGAGGAGCUUGCUCCUCUGACGUUAGCGGCGGACGGGUGAGUAACACGUGGAUAACCUACCUCUAAGACUGGGAUAACUUCGGGAAACCGGAGCUAAUACCGGAUAAUAUAUUGAACCGCAUGGUUCAAUAGUUAAAGACGGCUUUGCUGUCACUUAUAGAUGGUUCCGCGCCGCAUUAGCUGGUUGGUAAGGUAACGGCUUACCAAGGCAACGAUGCGUAGCCGACCUGAGAGGAUGAUCAGCCACACUGGAACUGAGACACGGUCCAGACUCCUACGGGAGGCAGCAGUAGGGAAUCUUGCGCAAUGGGCGAAAGCUUGACGCAGCAACGCCGCGUGAGUGAUGAAGGUCUUCGGAUUGUAAAACUCUGUUGUUGGGGAAGAACAACUGUGUAAGUAACUAUGGACGUUUUGACGGUACCCAAUCAGAAAGCCACGGCUAACUACGUG
This 497-nucleotide ribosomal RNA is filed under the name uncultured bacterium. RNAcentral describes it as "partial 16S ribosomal RNA". It matches the Rfam family "Bacterial small subunit ribosomal RNA", at positions 28 to 507 of the family's 1533-position model. The record is from RNAcentral.